This 497-nucleotide ribosomal RNA is filed under the name uncultured bacterium. RNAcentral describes it as "partial 16S ribosomal RNA". It matches the Rfam family "Bacterial small subunit ribosomal RNA", at positions 28 to 507 of the family's 1533-position model. The record is from RNAcentral.
GACGAACGCUGGCGGCGUGCCUAAUACAUGCAAGUUGAGCGCUGAAGGUUGGUACUUGUACCAACUGGAUGAGCAGCGAACGGGUGAGUAACGCGUGGGGAAUCUGCCUUUGAGCGGGGGACAACAUUUGGAAACGAAUGCUAAUACCGCAUAAAAACUUUAAACACAAGUUUUAAGUUUGAAAGAUACAAUUGCAUCACUCAAAGAUGAUCCCGCGUUGUAUUAGCUAGUUGGUGAGGUAAAGGCUCACCAAGGCGAUGAUACAUAGCCGACCUGAGAGGGUGAUCGGCCACAUUGGGACUGAGACACGGCCCAAACUCCUACGGGAGGCAGCAGUAGGGGAUCUUCGGCCAUGGACGGAAGUCUGACCGAGCAACGCCGCGUGAGUGAAGGAGGUUUUCGGAUCGUAAAACUCUGUUGGUAGAGAAGAACGUUGGUGAGAGUGGAAAGCUCAUCAAGUGACGGUAACUACCCAGAAAGGGACGGCUAACUACGUG